GGCGAGGUAGCUCAGCGGUAGAGCAGGGGAUUCAUAAGCCCUUGGUCGUGAGUUCGAUCCUCACCCUCGCCA
This 72-nucleotide transfer RNA is filed under the name Chloroflexota bacterium. RNAcentral's name for it is "tRNA-Met". It matches the Rfam family "tRNA". From Rfam's summary of the family: Transfer RNA (tRNA) molecules are approximately 80 nucleotides in length. Their secondary structure includes four short double-helical elements and three loops (D, anti-codon, and T loops). RNAcentral also lists the same sequence under 1 other name. Lineage: Bacteria; Bacillati; Chloroflexota. The record is from RNAcentral.